This 567-nucleotide ribosomal RNA is filed under the name Escherichia coli. RNAcentral's name for it is "partial 23S ribosomal RNA". It matches the Rfam family "Bacterial large subunit ribosomal RNA", at positions 323 to 895 of the family's 2925-position model. Lineage: Bacteria; Pseudomonadati; Pseudomonadota; Gammaproteobacteria; Enterobacterales; Enterobacteriaceae. The record is from RNAcentral.
UGUGUGUUAGUGGAAGCGUCUGGAAAGGCGCGCGAUACAGGGUGACAGCCCCGUACACAAAAAUGCACAUGCUGUGAGCUCGAUGAGUAGGGCGGGACACGUGGUAUCCUGUCUGAAUAUGGGGGGACCAUCCUCCAAGGCUAAAUACUCCUGACUGACCGAUAGUGAACCAGUACCGUGAGGGAAAGGCGAAAAGAACCCCGGCGAGGGGAGUGAAAAAGAACCUGAAACCGUGUACGUACAAGCAGUGGGAGCACGCUUAGGCGUGUGACUGCGUACCUUUUGUAUAAUGGGUCAGCGACUUAUAUUCUGUAGCAAGGUUAACCGAAUAGGGGAGCCGAAGGGAAACCGAGUCUUAACUGGGCGUUAAGUUGCAGGGUAUAGACCCGAAACCCGGUGAUCUAGCCAUGGGCAGGUUGAAGGUUGGGUAACACUAACUGGAGGACCGAACCGACUAAUGUUGAAAAAUUAGCGGAUGACUUGUGGCUGGGGGUGAAAGGCCAAUCAAACCGGGAGAUAGCUGGUUCUCCCCGAAAGCUAUUUAGGUAGCGCCUCGUGAAUUCAUCU